CUUUGAUGAUGAGACUUUACUUCAUGGUCCGUGUUUCUGAUUUUCAUGAUAAAAGUAGAAGUUCUGAUAAG
This is a small nucleolar RNA of Scleropages formosus (Asian bonytongue), 71 nucleotides long. Its record names the gene SNORD18. It matches the Rfam family "Small nucleolar RNA SNORD18". From Rfam's summary of the family: U18 is a member of the C/D class of snoRNA which contain the C (UGAUGA) and D (CUGA) box motifs. It is encoded in introns of ribosomal protein L1 in Xenopus and human, and in introns of elongation factor 1 beta in yeast. Related snoRNAs in Arabidopsis and rice have been named R63 and Z106 respectively. The record is from Ensembl. Lineage: Eukaryota; Metazoa; Chordata; Actinopteri; Osteoglossiformes; Osteoglossidae.